CUCAAUAUAUUCUUUUGAAAUACUUAAUUGUUGAAAAAGGCCUCUCAGAGGUCCCUCUCUCCCCGCUAAAAGGAAACAUAUCCCCCAGGGGCCAGCUUUGAACUCGCAAAUUGACUCAUUCAAAUCAUUAGACUAGAGCGCUUAGCUAGUGUUAAGAUCUGUGCUAACCAAAUUGGAACACAGAGAUAAAUAAACUGUGGCUCUUGUCCUCAAAAUGGCAAUUAACCAGCAGGAGCAAUAGAUCUGAACUGAGAAUUACGAGAGAAUAUGAUAGAUGCUAGACAGUAAAACCAGAAGGUCAGGGCCAGGUGAUUUUGCUCACCAUUUUAUCUCCAAGCACCUACAACCUGGCAGGCACUCAGUAAAUAGUGGCGGAGUGGAAACGUGAAAAGACGGAGACAGGAACAGUGCAUCGCAGGGUGGCAGAGGGGAGGUGACUAACUGAGGGAGGCGCGAUGGUGAGAAGACUGGGGUCACUCCAGGGAGGGAAUGACACCUGGUGUGGAUUGUGCUGUCGGAACACAGCAGACAGAUGGAAAGGAAAGAGCAUUUCUGAGGGAGGAACAGCAUGAACACAUACAACAUUUUAUCGAGCAGGAAGUAGCACCUGGGGGCCAGUGAUGAGGUCAGAAACGUGGAAAGCCCUGAUCACAUGGUCAAGGAGACUGGGCUUUAUCUUAGGGGUAAUGGAUGGUCCUUAAAGACUUUUGAGUAGAGCCUUAGCCUGCACAUCAGGCAUUAGCAUUAGCAUGGAGGGUGGACAGCAGUGGAGACAGACUGGAGGCCGGAAGCCAGUGAGAAACCACUGAAAUAGCCUAGUCUGCAAACGAUGGAGGCCUAAACUUGUGGAUUAUUGGGGGUAUUGGAAAAUAAGCCUGCAGGAAGGAAACCGUACCCUUAAGGACUCGCUAUAAAUAAAGCCUAAAGCCUCUGCCGGACUACUGCCUCUGCAACACUCAACAGACUCCCCAGGGAAGACGGAUCUGGCUACAGGUUCACCAUGAGAUUCUUUACCAUCCUGCUGCUGGCCACCUGAGCCUCCACAUCUCUCGCCAUCCUUAAUGAGCCAGAAGAUGAGAUCCACUUGCAGGCUCAACCCAUAAAUGCCCAUAAGUCUCAUGUUGGCAUCCUUUAGAGGGAGUUGGUGGUAGUGAAAGAUGGUCCAGUAAAUGAUGAAUUCUCCACCUGAGGAAGAAAUGGAGCAGAGACCAUCCCUCCUGGCGCUGGACCUUAAUCCUUCCUGCUGCACUAAUUGGCCAAGAUCUGGGGACCGGGAACAAUUUGAACAGCACUUCAUGCUGGGUAGUCAUUGAAGAUGACUAUAUCUCAUACCCAAAUGCUAGCAGCUGCUCAGCUGAUAUGUGAAAAGGACCAUGUCUCCAUUGAAAACCUUUCUGAGGAAUCUCUCAUCUCCAGAGAAGAGCUGGUUUUUGAAGAGGAUGACAUGACCAAAUCUACCAGGAGACCAAAACGUCAAAGGCCCGAGCUGCUUCACCCCAUCCCCCAGGAGGAGAGUAUCAGAAAUGCUGCCUCUCAGUCAGAAGAGACUACAGAACUCACUCCCAG
RNA transcript from Herpailurus yagouaroundi (jaguarundi), 1566 nucleotides. It is a transcript of the gene named glycosylation-dependent cell adhesion molecule 1-like, with no coding region annotated. NCBI's taxonomy places the organism in Eukaryota, Metazoa, Chordata, Mammalia, Carnivora, Felidae. The transcript is spliced from 4 exons. The record is from RefSeq and is a predicted model, not a curated record.